UAAAAUUGAUGGUCCUAUACACCGACCAUCCGCCUGGGAAUUACGAGCAACAGCUUAAAACCCAAAGGAUUUGGCGGUGCUUUAAACCCCCCUAGAGGAGCCUGUUCUGUAACUGAUAACCCCCGUUAAACCUCACCAUCCCUUGUUUAAUCCGCCUAUAUACCACCGUCGUAAGCUUACCCUGUGAAGGAGUAACAGUUAGCGCAGAUGGCAAAGCCAAGAACGUCAGGUCGAGGUGUAGCGAAUGAGAUGGGAAGAAAUGGGCUACAUUCUCUGCUUUAGAGAACUAACGAAUGGUCAAUUUGAAAAGACUUACCUGAAGGAGGAUUUAGUAGUAAGUAGAGAAACGAGUG
This 353-nucleotide ribosomal RNA is filed under the name Trachyrincus murrayi (roughnose grenadier). RNAcentral describes it as "partial 12S ribosomal RNA". It matches the Rfam family "Bacterial small subunit ribosomal RNA", at positions 801 to 1356 of the family's 1533-position model. The record is from RNAcentral. Lineage: Eukaryota; Metazoa; Chordata; Actinopteri; Gadiformes; Macrouridae.